GAUGAACGCUGGCGGUGUGCCUAAUACAUGCAAGUCGAGCGAACAGACGAGGAGCUUACUCCUCUGACGUUAGCGGCGGACGGGUGAGUAACACGUGGAUAACCUACCUAUAAGACUGGGAUAACUUCGGGAAACCGGAGCUAAUACCGGAUAACAUGUUGAACCGCAUGGUUCAACAGUGAAAGACGGUCUUGCUGUCACUUAUAGAUGGAUCCGCGUCGCAUUAGCUAGUUGGUAAGGUAACGGCUUACCAAGGCAACGAUGCGUAGCCGACCUGAGAGGGUGGUCGGCCAAACUGGAACUGAGACACGGUCCAGACUCCUACGGGAGGCAGCAGUAGGGAAUCUUCCGCAAUGGGCGAAAGCCUGACGGAGCAACGCCGCGUGAGUGAAGAAGGUCUUCGGAUCGUAAAACUCUGUUAUUAGGGAAGAACAAAUGUGUAAGUAACUAUGCGCGUCUUGACGGUACCUAAUCAGAAAGCCACGGCUAACUACGUG
Molecule: ribosomal RNA, 497 nt
Filed under: uncultured bacterium
Lineage: Bacteria
Description: partial 16S ribosomal RNA
Rfam family: Bacterial small subunit ribosomal RNA
Source: RNAcentral